RNAcentral lists this long non-coding RNA (27061 nucleotides) under Nicotiana tabacum (common tobacco). RNAcentral describes it as "long non-coding RNA (NTAB_LNC003244)". Lineage: Eukaryota; Viridiplantae; Streptophyta; Magnoliopsida; Solanales; Solanaceae. The record is from RNAcentral.
GGGUUCAGGGUUUGGUGAAGAAGAUGAGUGAAGGGGGGUUAGGAUAGGGGGCGGGGUAGCAAGGUUAGGCCUUAUAUAUGCUUUAGAGUUUUAGAUCCUGGCCGUUGGAUCAAGGGAGAUCUAUGGCCAGGAUCUAUUCUUUAGGUAGGACGUCGUCGUUUAGGUGGGAAGGUAGUUAAAACCGGGUAGGGAAAUGGGUCGGAUUAAAUUAACGGGUCUAAAGGGCGGGCCUCGAUCCGUUGGAUCAAAGGGAUUGGACGGCUCAGAUCAAACGCCUUGAACGGCGUCGUUAUGGUUAAAUGGGCGAUCUGAUCAAGACCGUUCAUUUAAAUCAUAUCAAUGGCUCUAAUAGGGAUGCUGAUACGGCAUCGUUUGAGUCAGUGCUUGGGCAGGCCUGGCUUGGACUGGGUCUUGCAUUGGCUUUGGGCCUCAUUUGGGGCCCAAUCCGAUUUCUUCACUUCUUUUUUUUUUCUUUUCUUUUUUUCUGAUUUUAAAAUACAACUAAAUUAAACUGAAUUUAAAACACUCAUUAAUCAACACCUAAACAAUUAUCACACACAUAUUAAAAUUUUAAAAAUGGUUAAAUCAUAGCCUAGAAUAAAAGCUGCAUAUUUUUGUGAAUUUUCUUUUAAAGACCGAAUUAUGGCCCGAUUACACACGGCAUACUUAUUUUGUAUUUUUGUUGGAGAAGAUUCAAUGAAAAAUGGAUAGAAACACAAAGGACUACCAGCACAUGUCACGUAAAAAUUGAAAAUUUGUAUGGCGAGGCCAUUUGCAAUUAUUUUGAUUUCUUUUGGAGUGAUUGUUCGUGAAGCAAAAAUCACGUGCUUACACCCGUUACUCGUUUUUUGGCAUUUUAAGGUCAUAAAACUUGAAUUCCGCCCGAUUCCCAGAUUUUCGUAUGCUAUAACCCACACCUCCUACAUGGGCCGGGGCGAUCGGUCCCCGAUCGCCUAAAACUUUGCUAGCCCAUCAAAAAUGACCUAAGAAAAAAUAGCCACCGCCCACCACAACUGUUACUCGUUUUUUAGCAUUCUAGGGUCGUAAAACUGGAAUUUUGCAUGAUUCCCAAAUUUUCGUGUGCUAUAGCCUAUGCCUCCUGCACGGGCCCCAGAUAUCGGACCCGGAUCGCCUAAAAUAUUCUCGGCCCGACAAAAACAAUCUAAGAAUAAUAGUUACCGCCUCGCCAUUAGCGUUACUCGUUUUUGGGCGUUUUAGGGUCAUAAAACUGGAAUUCUGUCCGAUUCUCAAAUUUUCGUGUGCCUCCUGCGUGGGGCCGGGCAAACAAAUUAGGGUCGCCUAUAAUUUUUCCAGCCCAUCAAAACGACCGAAGGAACAAUAGUCACCGCCUCUCCAUAAUCGUUGUUCGGUUUUUUUGGUGUUUUAAAGCCAUAAAACUGGAAUUCUGCGUGAUUCCUAGAUUUUCAUGUGCUAUAGCCCACACCUUCUGCAUGUACCCAGGCACCAGGACCCGCAUUGCCUAAAAAUUUUGUCAGCCAUUAAAUAUGACCUAAGGAAUAAUAGUCACUGCCUCGCCAUUACCGUUACACAUUUUUUGACAUUUUAGGGCCAUAAAAUUGGAAUUCGCCUAAUUUUCAAAUUUUAAUGUGCCCAAGCCCAUGCCUCCUGCACAUGCACGGGUCCGGGAGCCCGAAUCUGGAUCACCUAAAAAUUUUCAGGCCCAUCAAAAAUGAUCUAAGGAACAAUGGUCACAGCCUCUCCAUGAUCAUUACUCGUUUUUUGGCGUUUUAGGGCUAUAAAACUAGAAUUUCCCCGAUUCCCAGAUUUUCGUGUGCUAUAUAGCCCACACCUCUUGCAUGGGCCCGGACGCCUGAACCUGGAUCGUCUAAAAAUUUUCUAGACCAUAAAAAAUGACUUAAGAAAAUAUAGUCACUGCCUCGCCAUGACUGUUACUCAUUUUUUGGCAUCUUAGGGCCAUAAAAUUGGAAUUCUGCUCAAUUUCUAGAUUUUCGUGUUCUAUAGCCUGCGCUUCCUGCAUGGGCCCAAACAAACGAGCCUGGAUCGCCUAAAAUUCGUCGGCCCAUAAAAAAUGACCUAAGGAGCAAUAGUCACCGCCUAGCCAUGAUCGUUACUCGUUUUUUUGGCAUUUUAGGACCAUAAAACUGGAAUUCAAACCGAUUCCCAAAUUUUCGUGUGCAAUAGCCUGCACCUCCUGCAUAGGGGCGCCCAAACCUGGAUCGCCUAAAUUGCAGGGCCAUCAAAAAUGAUCUAAUGAAUAAUAGGCACCGCCUAGGCAUGAUUGUUACUCGUUUUUUAGCGUUUAAGGGCCAAAAACUAGAAUUCGGGCCAAAAACUCCUAAUGUUGUGAAUUUCAUCUGCUUACCAGAUGGUUAUGUGACUGUACUGUGCUAAACAAUCAUACUCCACUUGUGAGAUUUUUCUGGUUUGUUGUUAUUAUUGUAUAAACAGAAAAUGUAAAUUAAAGAUCUUCUAAUGACAUGAUUAAUGUAAUCUAACCUAUUAUAGUAGUUUUAGUAUAAUAGGAUAGUUACAAUUUUUUUUCAGAUUACUAUUGAGAAUUCGUCAUAAAUAUUUACCUAUAAUUACCUUAUAAAUGACCUGAUUAUGUAAAUAUUUUUAUACCGUCAAUUUUAAGACUAACGGUCAGUUAUUAAAACUAGCUGCUCCACUUUCAAUAUCCUCCUACCAUCUAAAUUGGUAAUUUUCAUGUUUUUGGCCUUCUAGUAGAUUAUAUGAACUGUGUAAGCUUGUUCCUAAGGCAUGUAGUUAAGAAUUUUGCUCGUAAUAUCGCAAGUAGCUAGACCAUCAACACAUGAUUCGUAUGAGUACAAAAGUGUUCAUAAUAAUAUCAGAUCAUACAUCAAGCUGAUCAUCAACUCAUAUUUUUCCCCUUAAUUAUGACCACUUGGUCUUUUUAUAGAUCCACUUCAGAGGAUUACAAAUAUAGUACUAUUACUAUAUACUUGACUUUAAGUUGCUUUUUAGAGCAAUUAUUUAAGUUCUUGAUAUCAAGCAGAACAAUCCAUACAUAUUAACGUGAAAUGGACGUAGGUCGUUUCAAUUAGUAUGGACUUUCGCCUCUAUAAUUACCUGGAGGAUCAUAGUUGCAAGAGACAACAUAUCCUCCAUUGUUACACUGAACCCUAGCACAUCCAACACGAACCGAGUUACGCCAAACCACCUGAGUAUAGUGUCCACACACCUGUCCUUGUGCACAAGUAUUUGAGUCAUGGUCAUAAUACUGUUUCUCAUCGACCCACAUCUCAACGGCCUUAGCAGCCGUCAUGAAAUCGCCACUUCCCUCAGCUAGGUUUUCGCCGUAUUGACCAUGAGAAUGUACGAGGUUACAAUCUGCAGCCAAUUGGGAAGCAUAAUUUUGCGCAUAGGCUGCUACCUGGUCGUCCCAGGUCAAAGGUUCUACACCUACAUCUGCACGAGCUGUGUUAUGGGCAUCCAAAUAGUCUUGUUGAGAAUUUUGGGCACGGCAAGAGUGGGAUAUUACUAGGAAUAAGAGAAGUGUAGAGACAAGAAGAAAUGAAGGCAAUUGUGAAAAGAGAACAAAUCCCAUGACUAUAGGAGAAAUGUUGUAUCUUGAAUGGAAAAACUAGAUUUACUACCAAGGGUAUUUAUAGGAGAAAUCUUGAAGAUUUCACGGUGAUUAUUCAUGUACUUACUAAAUUUUUUGACAUGGUAAUAUCAAUGUAAUAUAUCCUGUUAUAGAUAAUUUAUCCUAUUUUCUAGGUUACCAUAUUAAACUUAUAUAUGCAGUUACCAAUUGUUGUAAAAUAGUUUUACCCGAUGUUGCAAAAUAAUUUUAAAUUGUCAAUGCAUGAAGUUAAACACUUUUUUGAUCUAUCAGAUGUGCUUUUUGUUAAAUAAAGUAGACUGGUUAUGGUUAAUGUGUUAAUUAAUAUUUUCUACAUUUAACGAUCUGAUUAAUUUUUACUUCCAUAUUUAUAUCUCUUUUUUUUCAGAAUGGGAAUGUCCAUUGGAAAAAGAAUUUAAAAUAAAUACUUUGAUGUUUGAUUUUUCUAAUAAUCUUAUUUCUAAAUCUUAUAUUAUAUUUCUUAUAUGUACAAUCAAUUCUCUAAAAGAAAAAACUAUAAUAAUACCAAACACAGUUUGUGUCUUCUUCUUUCUUUUCUCAAUAUUUGUGGAAAACUUGAACAUGGCCGUCAUCUCGAUGACGUUAAAUAACUAUCAAAUUUGGACGUAAAGAAUAUUUGGAUAUUCUUCAGUUCUUUCUCUAAUUUCCUUCCCUUAAUUUCCAACUUGAUGUUACUCAUGUACUAUCAUACUUUUCUAUUAUCUCAUUCCAAUCACGGCUUGAUCUGGAGUAUAAAUAAAUUUCUAUUUUCUUAUCCCAAUCACGACUUGACUUUAGAUUCAAAUGGAGUAUUUUUUUAUUUUUUGUAAAUAGCUUAUGUUUAUUUCGUUUUUCGACAUUAGUGGAAAAGAAAGCUCAAGUUUUAGUGAAGCUAGAGUUUGAAAUCCUCGAGGGUGUUUUAAGAUUUAACUACUUUAUUUUUCCAAGAAAUAGCACCCUAAAGCAUCUCGCUGUAAUGGCGUUCACUUAUUUUCCCUUUAAUUUAAAUGGAUAAAUGACAACCAAACUCCUUAAAAAGACUUCGGCCAAUGCUUUAGGUGGUGAAGUAUAGACCCAAUACUUACAAGAGAGACCAGUGUUUUUGUUAUGCAAAAAGAGUAAUUGAAGAAUUUUGUAACUAUUGCCAUUUAGCAAUUUGNNNNNNNNNNCNNUCACUUUUGUUUGACAUGUAUACUAAAAAUAGAUUUUCAUUUUUACUUUUCACUUUAUGCAUGUUAAGAGAAGACAAUUUUUUUUUCCUGUUAUACCCACAGUAUUUAUUACUCAUUUCAAAUCAUUUUCUCAAAUCCAAUAAAAUAUGCAUCAAUUAAUAUGGGUAUCAUGGUAAAUUAUGCAUUUCAAUCAUUUUUUCUUAAAGGGUUUGAAAAAUCAAAACGUGUCAAGUAAAAGUAAACAGAGUACAUAUUAUUGUAAAUUAACUUAUCGUGAUGAUUAAAAAAAUUAUAGUCUAUUAGAUGCAAAAAAAAAAAAAAUGAAAACUUAGACCCUACACUAUGAUAAUUGACAUCCUCGUAUAUCUUAGUCCUUAAAAACGUUUAUGUGCUACGAUCCCUAGGUAAAGGUUUGCGCCAUCAGGGUCGCAAAUUGUGCCUCACGACUUGACUAUAAGAUCAAAAUUAAGGUAUCUUAAUUAAUUUAUUCUAUUGAUAAUAGAGCUUAAAAUUCAAAUGUUCUUGAGGUUUUACUUUUCUUAUUGCAAUACAUUCCUCAUUAACUUUAUAGAACAAAAAAAAUGAUACAGUGAGAAAUCAUAGUUGCAAAUCUGAUUGUCAAGAUUUAUCAGAUUUGGGUUCAAAGAAAGUAGAAUAACUUUAUCUUUCAGCAAAUUUGUAUGGACUUAUUUGAGUUAUGCAUUGCUUGGUUCAUCUCUUAUGAUGUAUUGAAGGUUCUCUACGUAGCAUGUCAUGAGUGAAGAAUCAAAAUAGAAUUGCAAGCUCAAUAUUAAAAAGAAUAACUGAAAGUAGAAUUGAAAUUUUUGUGGAAGAAAAUAAUUGGAUAGUUUAUUCAAUUCACGAAUGGCCUUAUAUAGGCAUACAAAUUAGCUUGAAUAUGUUAUCCCACUAAACAAACUCUCCUAAACUUUAGGAAAAAUAUCUGCAACUAACAAUAACAAAAUAACAACUUGAAGCUAAAAACUAGCUAUACUACUGACUUAGUCAACACUACAAGUUGUACAUGGCACAAGUGCAGGAUUAAAGUUGCAGGCACCAUCAGCGUCGUACAUUGUGCUACAGCCUACAAGAGUUGACUCCAACACAAAGAAUGAGAAAAGAAUCAAUACAAACGGAAAGGUAAACAUCUUUACUGGGAUUGUGAAUGCUUUUAUUUGUUUUGAUUCCUUUUAGGCAAUUCGGAUCAGGUUAACCCGGAUUCAUGUAGAUGACGUGAAUUAUAGCACACGAAAAUUUGUAAAUCGACCCGAAUUUCAGUUUUUUAUCCCUAAAAUGCCAAAAGAAGAGGAACGGUCAUGCUGAAGCCAUGAUUAUUGUUCAUUAGGUUAUUUUUUAUGGCCCCGCAAACUGAAAAUUCUGGAUAUCGGGUAGAAUUCCAGCUUUACGGUCGUAAAACACAAAACACGAGGAACGGUCAUGGCAAGGAAAUGACUAAUAUUCCUUAGAUCAUUUUUUAUGGGACGGUAAAAUGGCGACUCGGGUCUGGUCGCUCGAACUAUGCAGAUGGCAUGGGCUAUAGCACACAAAAAUUUAGAAAUCAAGUAGAAUUCCAGUUUUGUGGGCCUAAAAUGCCAAAUAAUGAGUAAACGAUGACUAGUAUUUCUUAGGUCAUUUUUUAUUGGUCGGAAAUUUUUUAGGUGAUUCGGGUCCAGUCGUCCAGACCCAUGUAGAUGACGUAAGCUAUAACACACGAAAAUCUAGGAAUUAUACGGAAUUAAAAAAUUUAUGGCCCUAAAAUACCCAAAAAUGAGGAAUGGUCAUGGCGAGGCGAAGACUAAUGUUCCUUAAGUCGUUCUUGAUGGGCCAAAAACUUUUUAGGCGAUUCAGGUCUAAUCGCUCAGACCCAUGCAAAUGGCGCGAGUUAUAUAGCACAGAAAAUUUGGAAUUGGUCGAAUUCCAAUUUGUUGGCCUUAAAAUGCCAAAAAAUGAAGAACGGUCAUGCUUAAGUCAUGACUAUUGUUCAUUAGGUAAUUUUUAUGGCCCUGCAAAAUUUUAGUUUAUUCGAAUUCGGUAGUCUGAAUUCAUGCAUAUGGCUAUAGCACACGAAAAUUUGAAAAACGACCUGAAUUCUAAUUUUUUGGCCCUAAAAUGAAAAAAAAAGGAACAUUGUUCAUUCAGUCAUUUUUUAUGGUCCCGCAAAAUCUUAGGCGAUUCCAAUCCAGUAGCCCAGAUUCAUGCAGAUGCGUGGACUAUAACACAUGAAAAAUUAGAAAUCUGCCGGAAUUUCAAUAUUUUGGCACUAAAAUGCCUAAAAAUAAGGAACGGUUACGCCGAAGCCGUGACUAUUAUUCAUUAGGUCACUUUUAUGGUCCAGUAAAAUUUUAGGAGAUUCAGAUCGGGUAGCCCUGAUUCAUGUAGAUGGCGUGGAUUAUAGCAUACGAAAAUUUGGAAAUCUGCCCGAAUUCUAAUUUUUUGGCCUUAAAAUACCAAAAAUCGAGGAAUGGUAAUGCCAAAAUCAUGAUUAUUGUUGAUAAGUUCAUUUUUUAUGACCCCGUAAAAUCUUAGGCGAUUCGGAUCCGGUAGCCUGGAUUCAUGCAAAUGGUGUAGACGAUAACACAUGAAAAUUUGAAAAUCGACCCCAAUUAUAGUUUUUUGGCCCUAAAAUGCAAAAGCCUAGGAACGUCCAUGUUGAAGCAAUGACUAUUAUUCGUUAGGUAAUUUCUUAUGAUCGUGUAAAAUUUUAGUCAAUUCGGAUCCAGUAUCCCGGAUUCAUGCAGAUGGCCUGGACUAUAAAGGAAAUUUGGAAAUUGGCCUAAUUCCAGUUUUUUGGCCCUAAAAUGCAAAAAAUAAGGAAAUGUCAUGCCGAAAACCAUGAAAAUGAUUCAUUAGGUUAUUUUUGUGGUCCCUCCAAAUUUUAGGAUAUUCAAAUCUGGUAACCCGAAUUCAUGCACAUAGAACGGAUUAUAACACACGAAAAUUUAAAAAUCGACCUGAAUUCUAUCUUUUUAGACCUUAAAUGCCAAAAAAGAGGAACAGUCAUGCCGAAGCCAUGACUAUUGUACAUCAUUUUUUAUGGACCCCGCAAAAUUUUAGGCGAUUUAGAUCCGGUAGGCCAGAUUAUUGUAGAUGGCGUGGACUAUAGCAUGCAAAAAAUUAGAAAUCGGCCCGAAUUCUAGUUUUUUGCCCUAAAUUGCCAAAAAAACAGGGAACGAUAUGUCGAAGCCAUGACUAUUAUUCAUUAAGGCAUUUUUUAUAGCCCCAUAAAAUUCGAUAUCCACACCUAAAAUAGCUAUCACUUCGCCAUGAUUGUUCAUUGUUUUUUGAAUUUUAAGACCAUAAAACAGGAAUUCAGGAUAACUUCUAGAUUUUCGUGUGUUAUAGUCCGUGCAUCUACAUGACUCGGGUGUCCGGUCCCGAAUUUACUAAACUUUUGCAGUCCAAUAAAAAAUGACCUAAUGAAUAAUAGUCAUCGUUUCGCCAUGAUCGUUUCUCAUUUUUGCUGUUUUAGGGCCACAAACAGAAAUUCAUGACGAUUCCCAGAUUUGCGUGUGCUCUAGUCCACGCUAUCUGUAUAAAUUCUGGUGACUAUUUUAGAAUCUCCUAAAAUUUUGUAGGCCCAUCAAAACUGACAUAAUGAACAAUAGCCACCGCUUUCUCGUGAUUAUUCCUCAUUUUUUUGGCGUUUUAGAGCCAUAAAAUAGGAAUUCAGGACGAUUCCCAGAUUUUAGUGUGCUAUAGUCCACGCUAUUUGCAUGAAUUCAUGCGACCGACUUCGAAACUCCUAAAAAUUUUGGGUUCCAUAAAAAUUGACCGGAUGAUCAAUAGUCAUCGCUUCGCCAUUACCCACCGUCUUUAUUUGGCAUUUUAAGGCUAUAAAAUAGAAAUUCAAGACGAUUCUCAAAUUUUCGUGUACUAUAAGUCUACACCAUAUGCAUGAAUUCGGGCGACCGAACCAGAAUCUCCUAAAAUUUUGUGGAACUAUAAAAACGACCUAAUUAGUAAUAAUCAUCGUUUCACCAUGAUUGUGCCUCAUUUUUUGGCUUUUUGGACCAUAAAACAGGAAUUCAAGAUGAUUCCUAUUUUUGUGUGCUAUAGUCCAUGCCAUUUGCAUAAACUCGGGCAACCGGCCUAGAAUCUAUUUUGCGAGCCCAUCUAGAACGAUGUAAUGAACAAUAGACAUAGAUUCGCCAUGACUGUUCUUUAGUUUUUGGCGUUUUAGGGCCAUAAAAUAGGAAUUCAAGACUAUUACAAAAUUUCAUAUGAUAUUGUCCACACCAUUUGCAAGAAUUUGUGCGACCGACCUCGAAUCUCCUAUAAUUUUACAAGUCCAUAAAAAAGACCUAAUGAACAACAAUCAACACUUCGCCAUGAUUUUUUGUGUUUUAGCGGCAUAAAACAGAAACUCAUCCAGAUUUUCGUGUGUUAUAGCGACGGGGCCAUCUGCAUGAAUUCAAGCGACUGGCCCUGAAUCUACUAAAAAAUUUUAGGCCCGUCAAAAAUAACAUAAUGAACAAUAGUCAUCGCUUCGCCAUGACUGUUCCUCAUUUUUUGGAUUUUUAGGGCCAUAAAAAAGGAAUUCAAGACGAUUCCCAGAUUGUCGUAUGCAAUAGUCCACGCUGUUGAUACCCAAUUUUUCCCUAUAAUAUUUUUCAAAUGCAUAUAUACCUUCAAAACUAUGCAUUAGCAUCAAUUGAUAUUUGUCAUAAUUUCUACAUUUUUCAAAUUAAUUUAUCCCAGUAUUUUAUUUAUAUAAAUAAUUACAAAUUGCAUCACAAAGGACUUUAUAAUAAUUUCACAGUUUAAUUGCUAUUUAUAUUCAUAUUGAGCUCAAAUUAUUUCGCAAAUAGCUAUAUCUACAUUUUUGGGUUAUAAUUGCAAUAACUUUGCAAUUAUAGCACAUGCAUGCAUUAUUGCAUUAUUUUACCAGAAAAUAGCUCAUUGUAUUUUUAUAAUCUUGAGUAAUUAUUUUAAAGCAUUUCCAUGCAUGAAAAUUAUUUUUUUUGUAAUCCGUUAAUUAUUUUAUAAAAUAUAUUUUAUCAAUUAUUUGGGUAUUUAACAAAUAACCCUUUUUUCAAACCUAACCAUUUUUAUCAACCUAAAACCCCCUUUAAUAUAAACCCAAAAGCCAGCCCAAACCCCUUAGGCUCAAUCUGCCUACCCGACCCAAUAACCCAUCUUCAAUCGUGGUCGUUGAUCUUUUAGAUCAACGGUCCACGUUCACUCUUACCUUAAUUAACCCUUAACCUACCCCAAACCCUUUUCAUUCUCUCAAAACCCGUCAUCAUCAUCUCCCCUCAUCUCCCAACUGUAUUUCAACCUAACCCUAACCCUAGUCAUCGUCAUCGGCGUAAACCUCCCUCUUAUGGUGCUUCUAUGUCUUCUCUGACCACUCCUGGUCUCAUACGCUCCACGGUUCUUUGACUUCAUGAGUCCUUGAGAAGAUCUCAAGGAACUCCAACUGGUUCUGGUUUGAAACUUUGUUUACCGGCCAGUAUCAGGCCAUUUUUCAUUUGUAAGUAAGGAUCUCUCCUUGUUUUAUUACGAAUCUAUGGGUUCUAGACCUAUUCUCUUCAUUUCUGUUAUUUUUCCAAAAAACCCUAGUUCGAUAUUGUUGGUUCUUCUUAGAUCUUUAUAGAUCUGAGGUGAUUCGAAUGUUAUUAAGUGUUUUCCUUCAAAAUAUCUCUUGUUUUAAUUGAUUAUUUCGAUUUUUAAUCACUCUUUCUAAACUAGGGUUCAUCUCAAACUUUUCUUCAACGAUUUUUCUAAGUUCUCAAUGUUUAGUUAAUUAUUUUUUCAUCAUCUUAACUGAUUUUUGCAUGAAUGUUCAAACCCUAGUUGAUUCUGUGCGAUAUAUUGGUUUCUUCGAUUUUGUUUCGAUACUUUGUUAUUUCUGUGAUACCAGUCGUAUUAGUUUACUCUGUUUUUGGGCUUACAUAUUUUCCUUGUUAAAAUCCAAUAUUUCUUUGGGAUUGUAACCUAAUUAAGCUCUAUUUAUAGUUUGAACCUGUUUUUCUUGCUGAAUUCUGUAUUUCUGUGAAGCUUUACUUAUUUAAUUUCUAUUUAUGGAAUCAGAGUAAUUCUUUCCCAAAAAUUAGUAUUCUUUUGAAGGGUUUACUGAUUAUUUCCUAUUAUUUUGCUCUGUUAAAAUCUGUGUGUGCACAGAUCUUAUUUGUGACUUUAAUUGAUCACACUUGCCUAAAUAAGUUAUCCGUACGGUUUUGGGAUUCUUACUGAUUCCCUAUUUGGUAUGAUUUGGAUUCCUUACCCUAAUUAACCCUCUUUUGUUGUGAUCGUUAAGUGAUUACCCCUAAUUAAGUGGUCUAUUCCGGACUCCCUUACAUGAAUUGAUUCUGUGAUUAUUUGAUUGCCCCCAAAUUGACUGACUUCUGAUUCUCUUUACCUUAUUUGCUCUACUCUCUAAGUGCUAUAUAUACACUCUUGUUUUACCACUCAAAAACACGAACAGUAGUUCAAAAAUACACACACACACUCAAACUUUCUCUCAUCUUUCUUUCUACUACUUGUGCUCAUUGCUCGUAUAGCCGGCUAAAAGCCAAGGCUAGACUUUGGAACUCUACCUGUCACACCCCUUUUUUAACAACCUAACUCACUUAACUCUCUUAAAUAUAUAAAAAGAUUUAGUAAAGCUCGAAAAGGGCUUUUCAGUUUUGAAAGUGACAAAAGUUGUAUUCAAAGGGAAAAUAACUCAGAGUCACCACCUGACAUUGGUUUCGGUGUGCUAGGUCACCGUUUUUAAAAAAAAAUUCCUUUUAAACAUUUUGGAUUCCAAGACUAAGUCUACACCAGAGAUUUGUGUAAGAGAGUUCAUUUGACUCGGGGAGAAGGUGUUAGGCACUCCCCAAGCCCCGUAACUAGUACGGUUGCAUACUUGAUCAAGUCGGCUUUUAAAAUAUUCAAGUUGAGGUAAAAAUAACACAGAAAAGAAAAAUAAACACACAAGAGGCUCGAGGUCGUCCCCACCUAAUAAAAGAAAAAUAAAGAUAAAAAUAAAAUAAAAGACUGCAAGCGCUACUUUCGGCCUCUAAAUACAAGUACUACGGGGCAUUCCCCGGAACAAAAUAUAUACAAGUCCUUCGGGGCAUUCCCCGGAUAAAUUUAACUAAGGGAACAACCUCUUGCCUCAAAAUUAACAAAAUCCUAAGGCUUGCCUACCCAAGUGUGGUCGGCCUAAGCAUGCUCCUAACGAACAAUAUCAUCAGUAAAGAAAAUAAAAGGAUCUAAAUAAAAGAACUAAGUAAAAGAACAAUUCAAUUCAAUUCAUGGUCAUAUUUUGUUUUAGCUUUUCAUUUUUAUUAGACCGAGCCCGAUACCUAAACCAUGGAACAAAUUAAUUGCUAAUGGGCUUUAGCCUUUCUACCCCUCAAGCCACACGAAGCAGCAACACAUCUAGCAAACAUUACCAGAAAUUGUGAUAUCCAAUGACCAAAUACAUAAGAAAAGCGAAAACAAAAACAGACAAAGACAAAUUGAGAAACUUUUAUAAAGAUAACAUCAAAUAUGUAAAUCAGUACAGCAUCCCAAUAUGCAUGAGAAGAAAAGAUAGAGUGACCUAAACACAUAUAAGCCAUUUAAGACAAACACCUUGGCAUGUUACUGCGCCAUUCUAGAUGCGGUUACUACGUGGAACUUGCAAAACACAUUUAAACUAAUUUAAUAAUCUCAGUGAAUAUAGAUGAAACCAAAAUGAAGGGAAAAACACAAUUUUCAAACACAUGGACUAUCCCGACUCAGUUUUAAAAAAAAACGCUAUCCUAAUGUGAUAAAACUUUGACAUUUUGGACUUAAAUGUUUCAAAAUAAGCUCAAAGGGUGAACAAAAUAUGCUCCAUAAUGCUUGAAAGAAUUCAAAUCCGAGCGAAUAAGAUCAGUCACAAAAAAAAAAUAAAAAAAUUCAUGAACUCAAUCUAAUAAAGAAAAACUACAGAAGAGUUAAUAGACUACACCAAUCUAUUUUCAUUUUUCUUGCCAUACAAAUGAUGUUUCAUAUAAACUAAUGUUGCCAAACGCCUUUCAAGAUCAUUUUGACUAAUCAACUGAUGAUAAGCCUCUUAUCAUAUAAUUAAGUCUAAUAGACUCUUAGUCAAUAUGUUUUCGCCUACACCAAAUCUACACCAAUCAACUGAUGAUAAGCCUUUUAGUCAACCAUAGCCAUUCAAAUUUGCAAACUAGCACCCACUUUCAAGCUCAUUUUGACUAGAAAAGUAGCAGAAAAGAUUUAAACAAGAACAAACCAAUUGACAUGAUCAUCACCAAAGAGAAACACAAAUCACAACAGAAACAAAAGAAAGGAAUAGAAGUGAACCUGUUAAGCUGAAAUCCUUCUAAAUAACAAUGGAAAAAUUAGCAAAUGCACACUCCUCGAAUAGAAAGAAAAUCCGACGAGAAAACAGCAAGCAAAAUCGAACAACGGAACCAAAACUCGAACGACGAACACGACUCCGACCUCGAACAAACUCGAAUGGAGAACGAAUUUUGGCUCAAUCAACCUCCGUGUUGAAACCGAAACCAAAAGAAGAAACUAAAAUCAUUUUUGAGAUAUUUUCUGAUUUUUUUAAAAUGGAGACAAGUUGAAACAAAAAACCUAAACUCAAACUAUUUUUUGUAUUUUUGUUUUUCUGGAAUUUAAACUCAACUGAAAAUGGACCAAAAUGAGAAGAAAAGAAGAAACUCCCUCUUAGAGCCCAAAUUUUUCCAAAUCAUUUUCUCCAAAUUCUUCUCCUAAUCCCCCGAAAUUUCUGUCCAAGACCCAAAUAUAUAGCUCCCUCUCGAAAUUUCUAUCCUUCUUCAUCAAGAAAUCGUGUGGGACCACAAAACAAAUCCGAAAAUCUUUAACCAAAAUCUGAAAAAGAAGAAAAAAAACAAAGCAAAAUCGAAUUUUAUCUCUUUUGAUGCCAUUAAAGGACAGAUGGAGGGGGUAACUCGAUCCUACGCCUCCCAUUUUGCUGUUCAUGCCUAAAAAGAUAAAAUCGAAAAGGAGAUGAGGAGAAGACGCGCAAAAUCGAAUACUAAUGAUGAGGGGGGACCAUGAGGGGACCAGGAGGCGAGUUGGGUGAGUGGACUCGUCCGAUUCCGGCGAGUAUAGAUCGGCAGAGGCAAGGCAGAAGCGGCUGGAGUUUGUAUUUUAGGUUUAGGGUUAGAUUGGGGAAAAUAUUAGGCUUAUAUUUGGGUAUGGGGAAAUAAUGUGAGCCAAUGGAUCAAAUAAAAUAGAUGGCUAGGAUUUAAAAUGGUAAUUGGGGCGGGUCGGCGGAUUGGGUUGGCGGGUCAGCAGGUUUUGAGUUUGGGACAUGUGUCAAAGGUUAUGGGAUUGGGCUGCCCAGAUUUGGGCCUCUUCUUGACCGAAAUUGGUUUAAAUCCGUCAANNNNNNNNNNNNNNNNNNNNNNNNNUGAAAACAAAAUAUAUUGCUAUAAAAAUAUUAAUAACCUAAACUAAAUAGGAUAAGAUAGAACAUGAAACUAUUUUUGUAUUUUUUAAAAUUUUGUGCCUUAAAAAUAGAAUUAAAAUUAGUAAUAAAGUAAAAUCCUAUAGAUAUAAACCCAAAUAAAUAUCCUAAGAAUACUAGGAUUAUUAGAGGUGAUUCUAAUGCAUGGGUCAAAAAUUACAUGUCUACACUACCUGCUUUACUCUCUGCACUUUGCUUCCUUAACUGGUAUGUUCUUAUUUCAAUAUCAUUCUGAAAUUCAAAUCUAUGUUCCCCAUAGUUGCUAAAUCCUUGUCGAUUUUCGCACUAGUUUAACUGAUUAUGUUCUUAGUUGUUCUUCCUGUUUACUGCUUUGAUCAGUAUGCUUAAGAUGUACACCUUCUUGUUCAAUGUUUUAAUCAGCAUGUCUAUGUUUCUAUCUUCUUGUUUUCUAUUUUAGCCAGCAUGUUUACUUGAGUUUUUGUCUGUUUCUUUCAACUAGCAUGCUCAUUUUAAGUAGUUUAGGCUCCUAAUUUAUCUGAUUAACCACAAUUGGUAUGACUAAUCCUGUGUGGUAGACCCUUGUCCUCAACAUGGAUAUUCCUGCAUUCUGUUUCUAUGCUCUAAUGUCUAUUAUCACUUUAGCUUUAAGUAUAAUUUCCUUGUUAAUACUCUGAAUUAGUAGUUUAUAUUCUAAUGCUAUGAAUUUGGUCGCUGGUUGUCAAUCAAUCCCUACUUGUUCUGUGUAUUGUUCAUCAAUAAAUAUGCUUCCCCUCUUAUCCAUGUUCAUGUGCUUCUGAUUUAAGCUCCCUAUGUUCCCAACUCCCCGAUCCCUAUUUGUAAACUUGUUUGUCUUCACUUAGAAUCAAGUAAUAAAUGGCUUUGAAUCUGGGCACUCUAAGUUUUGUGAUUGUGUGGUUCUUUGUUGAAUCUUUGUUCUUCUCAGAAUUGCUUCCAAAACUAUUUUCACUCUUAGCAUUUUCUUAAAACUGUUUCCAUUCCUAAAAUACCUUUUCACUCCUAAAAAUUUUACCUCUAAACUGUUUUUAAUAAGUUCUUCCAACUAUGUCAGGCACUCUCACUUCUACUCUUAGAUUAUGUAAGUUCUGCCCCUCCAGUGUGUGUAUUGCCUAGGAAUCCAUGAGAUUCCUCAGAACUCUGGCACACUGGGGCUGGCCCUUCCACACCGCACAUAACUACUUCUCUAUUUAUAAGGAUCUUGGUGUGAGCAUUGCUCAGGGUACUUUAGGCCCUUGGGAACUUUGACGCACCAGGAUACCUCAUUGGAUACCAUGGACUAUGACAUCUUGGACUGUUUUGAAAGCCUGGUAUUUCCAAGUUCACUUUGGCCUAUUUCAGGCUCCAUAUAGCAUAACUUAUAUUUAUUAUGUAAUUUAUUUAUUUAUGGUCUGUAAUGAUAAUCUUUAUAAACAGAUAUUAGGGAAAUUAGUAAAAGAAUAGGAUUCUUAUAUGAUUUUUGUGGGGAAACCGGGUAGAAAUCAUGCCUUUUGGUCUAUAUUAUAUUUACUUGCAUCAGAAAUUAUGCUUUAGGUUUAUACUAUGUUUACCUGUAUUAGAAAUCAUGCUUUAGGCUUAUACUAUGUUUACAUGCUUUAGAAACCAUACUUUUAGGAUCGCUUGGCAUACUAGACAACAUAUUAUAGGCUCACUACCUCAUUUGUUACAAAACUCUGUUUCUGCAUAAUCAUGAUCAUCUAGGAAUCCUGUUAUUAAGGUACUGCUACAAUUCAGCCUAAUAAAAACGUCCAUUCUUUCUGUGCAUUGGAGAUCCUGCCUUAGGACUGUAUUUGUAUUCGGUUUAAACCAUGUCUAUAUCGCCUAAAUCAAUAACUAUAUUGUCUAUAAAAAAUGUUUAAAAACAAUCCCAACACUUAGAUGUCAUAGAGAUAUGUGUGUAUAAACCAGUUCUGUAAUGUAAUAUUCAGCACCUAGACCAGCAUGCCUAUAGGAUCCAAACUACCUGCUUAAAAUUGUUUAUUGGUUUACUGCGCUCCUAAUGAAUGAUUAGAUACCGUGCUUAUAGGACAUCACUGUUACACGCCUAGACAAGCCUGUAAGGCGACUAAAAUCCUGCUAACUGUAAAACUAUGUUUUUGUUGUUUGUGAACUGCCCAGAUUCAACAGGCCUUAAAAUCAGUAUGCAAACUGAUUAGGGUCUCUAUCACCUCGCUUUAACACGAUGAUGCAUACAUUCUAUUUGCUCACCUAGAUAUCCUGCUCUAGGACCUUUGGAAAUGUCUGAAAUCUUGUUGUUCGAGACAUGUUGUUGUUUGCUUAUUUGUGGAGGUAAACGUGAGCCCCUUAAUUGUUCUUUACUUGACAGUCAUGUUUGUUCUUUGUUGCCGCUUAGAUUUUCCCUUUUAAACACCUUAGGAGAGUCUAUAACUGCCUAAAAUUAGAGGUCCUAAACACCUCCGGGACCACAAGGAAGGGACGAGUAAUGCACGCAUAGAAUUGUGUGCUAAAUGAUAUAAAACCGCUAAGGGGAGGGUAAUUGGGUAGUACAAGGAUAUGAUGACCUGUGUGCUAAUGCCACGUGUAACCCCUCUAGUUGAGAAAGGUUUACCGGGUAUUGUACAGAUGUGAUCCUGUAGGCUAAAAAACCUAGCACCCCUUUUACCCUUUGUUUUAAAUGUAAUACCAAUUUGUCUAAAUUGCUUUAUCAGUUUAUAAGAUUAAUUCACAUAAUUUGAGUCCGAACGGGACUCACCGUUGUGGACCGCGAGGGGUGCCUAACACCUUCCCCUCAAGGUUAUUUCGAGCCCUUACUCAAUCUCUGGUAAUGCAAAUCGGUUUAUGAGUUACUUGCUUUAGGUGCCCUAACGCAACUUAAUCCGUUAGAUGGCGACUCUUCAAAUUCAACUACCCAAUUCCCGAAAGGAAAUGAGUUGUUCCCAAUGAAUGUCGAAAUCCGGACUCCGCGAGGAAAAAUGGGGUGCGACAGCAUGACGACUCUGCUGGGGAUAUUUUAGGCUCUUACCAUAACAAACUUGUUUUUGUGAAUUAGUCUUAAGCAUGCUUAUUUCUGUUAACACAUGUGCACCCUUCCCAUUUCCCCUUUAUUUGGAUUUAAUUGCUUAUUUCUCAAGCAUUUACGAUUUUUUUUAUUUCCUGAAACUGAUUUGACUCUUUGUUUUCUUUUUUUUUGUAACUGUCUUUCAAUUAUUUAAAUACCGCAUAUCAUUUUUUAAACGUGUAAAUACUUGACAACAUGCUAUUAUUGCUGCAUAAAUCAUGCUCAACAUCAUAUUUCACUCGCGCGUAAUCAAUUCUAUAGCAACGCUUGAUGAGUGUUUACGCUCUUCCUAUAUAUCACCCUUUUAAAUUCGGAAAGGCAUGUUUGCGGUAAAACUAUUCGAUCAGCGGGCAUUUGACGGUUCCAUGCCUUUCCCUUUCAAGUUGUCCACUUGAGGGUCCUAGUCUAGACCUCUAUAGCAACCUUACUCUGAUUAAUUGUACAUGCAUCAUGGUCAAACCUAGCCAGGGUUAAUAUGUUGUCCACAUAAUAACCCUUUAAGACAAGCCUCAUCCAAAUGUCCAUCGAGUUUUUCAUAAUCCCAACGGACGCAACCACGACUGUAUGCAUUUUUGGAGAAACAUGUGUUAAUGUGCUAAUCAUUGUUGUAUAAAUAGACGAACCUGGAGGGGGGACAUGGCCUAACCAUGUUUUGUUUUGCAGAAAAAAUGAGGCACGAAGUCCCGAAGUUUGGCAUAAUCGGUAGCAUACCUUUAAUUUUGCUAGAUUGGUGGAGGGAUCUUCCUUCAAGUGACCAAAAUCAUGUGAAAAGGGUCUUAGGAAAUUUGCCUUCUUUGUUGGAUCUUCAGCCAAACAAAAUGUUGAUCGAAGUUGCCACCAUGUUCUGGGAAAAAGAAAGGGUUGUGUUCCGCUUUAGAAACAUAAAAAUGACCUUGCUGGGUUGCCUUGGGAUAGCCCUGGUUUAUUGGCACCUGAAAACCGCACCACUAGGGGGUUUCUGAAGAUGAUGGGGUUAAAGAAGAAUGAUGACUUGGAGUGCAUGAAAAACUCCUACAUACCUUUCGACUUCCUCUAUGAACGACAUGGUCAUAGUAGCUUUUACCGUAUUUUUGAUGAUGAAUUCUUCAUCACCUAUUUAGGUUGGAUUCAUCGUAGGGUCUUUGUGUUCAUUGUGUGUUUCUUGGGCAUUCUAGUGUUCCCGAUCCAAGGGGACAAAAUCCACACCAGGCUUGCCAAAACUUUGAUGGACGGGAUCGAAGGGCAAACAUAUACCAUUAUCCCUAUGAUCAUUGCAGAUAUGUACCGGGCCUUGGAACACUGUCAGAAGGGGUUCAGAUUCUUUGAGUGUUGCAAUUUGCUGCUGUAAGUUUGGCUGCUAGAACAUCUCCAAAAGGGUCAAUACUGUCAGGAAUUUCCACGAAGGCCGUGGAAUGAUCACAUAGCCUUCCAUUAUCCCUAGAGAAUGACUUAUAUUCCCAAUAGGUUUUGCUCAACCAGAGGAUGAUGUAGGAUGGGUACAAUUUUUCAACAAUUUGAUCGAGGACCAGGUUCAAUGGAUGUUCGAGUGGUUCCCAACCGACGAGUUCAUCAUUAGAUCCAAGGAUGUUCCACACUUGGUGUUGAUUGGUUUAAGGAGAAUAUACCUUUAUGCUUCCCUUAGGGUUAUGAGACAGUCAGGCAGGAUACAGGUCAUACCGCGAGUCGCUAAAAUGAGUCACUUCAUAGACGAUUUUCAGAGUGACGCCAUCCCAUAUAAGAAUGAAGCAUAACACAUGUGGCACUUGAAGAUUAUCGUUGAAAAGGAUACCAUCGAGCCGGAUUGAUAUAAUGCGGGUCAUACAUACUUCUACCCCUCAUGGUUGGAUGAUAAUAUAGCAGGAAUCUUCGAGCCAAGGGUUGGUCCAGGAAACAGGGUCAUAGAUGAAGUUGCCGAAGCGCAGGUGAAGUACAACAAAUUGUGCAAAAGNNNNNNNNNNNNNNNNNNNNNNNNNNNNNNNNNNNNNNNNNNNNNNNNNNNNNNNNNNNNNNNNNNNNNNNNNNNNNNNNNNNNNNNNNNNNNNNNNNNNNNNNNNNNNNNNNNNNNNNNNNNNNNNNNNNNNNNNNNNNNNNNNNNNNNNNNNNNNNNNNNNNNNNNNNNNNNNNNNNNNNNNNNNNNNNNNNNNNNNNNNNNNNNNNNNNNNNNNNNNNNNNNNNNNNNNNNNNNNNNNNNNNNNNNNNNNNNNNNNNNNNNNNNNNNNNNNNNNNNNNNNNNNNNNNNNNNNNNNNNNNNNNNNNNNNNNNNNNNNNNNNNNNNNNNNNNNNNNNNNNNNNNNNNNNNNNNNNNNNNNNNNNNNNNNNNNNNNNNNNNNNNNNNNNNNNNNNNNNNNNNNNNNNNNNNNNNNNNNNNNNNNNNNNNNNNNNNNNNNNNNNNNNNNNNNNNNNNNNNNNNNNNNNNNNNNNNNNNNNNNNNNNNNNNNNNNNNNNNNNNNNNNNNNNNNNNNNNNNNNNNNNNNNNNNNNNNNNNNNNNNNNNNNNNNNNNNNNNNNNNNNNNNNNNNNNNNNNNNNNNNNNNNNNNNNNNNNNNNNNNNNNNNNNNNNNNNNNNNNNNNNNNNNNNNNNNNNNNNNNNNNNNNNNNNNNNNNNNNNNNNNNNNNNNNNNNNNNNNNNNNNNNNNNNNNNNNNNNNNNNNNNNNNNNNNNNNNNNNNNNNNNNNNNNNNNNNNNNNNNNNNNNNNNNNNNNNNNNNNNNNNNNNNNNNNNNNNGGCUGGAAUAUAUGGAGUACAGUCUGAUGGAAUUGGAAGGAAAAUGAGAAAGAGAGUCACCGAUUGCCAGAACACCGAGGGAAACAAAAGGAGGACAUUUGGCAAGGGCAUUUUUACUGCUGAAUCUGCGCGAACUGGGGGAACUGAUCGACAAAAGCAUCCAGUCUGGAGAGGGUCCUUCUGGGACCAAGUAGAUUAGGUUUAAUUGCUUUUCAAAUGUAAUAAGGUCAAGUGCCAUUAGUAAUAUUAUCUUAUUUAGUGUCGUUUUGGGUCGUCUUUUUUUUACAUUAAUGAAAUGAGGCAAUUAUUGUCACUAAAUUUAUCCAAAUCUAUUUGUCGCUAGGCCUACCUUGAGCAUAAUGGGGCUCCCAAAUUAGGACGCGAAUUUAUAUUCCCGCAAUAUGUGUUUAAAUACCGCAAACAUUUCAGAAUCUUUAUUGACUUGUUUACCUUUUGUUUUUCUUUAUUCUUUAUUAUUCCCAUCCCCUAAGGUCGGUUCGCACAUACUGGCAUCAUCAGCAUAUCACACCAGAUCUAGAGGCCCUCCACCUCCUCCUCCUCCAGAUCUCAGACGGUCGGAGUACUCCGACACCAAAUGACUUGGUUUUGCGGUUGGAACAAAAGAUACUGGAGUUACAGGGAGAAUUUGAGCAGGUCUACAACUUAGCAAACCUCUCCCCCACCCUCAACGUCCCUGACAUCAACCAAUAAAAUACCAAAAAUCUAGCACCUCCCCAAAACACACCAAACCAGCCUCUUCCCGCACCACAUCAAUAUGCAACUCCACCUCAAAAUCCUAAUCCUUUGCCAAUACCAACUCCACCAUAACACCAUCAUCAACCAAUCCAGUACCCAUAUACCACUACCUAUCACACUCCUCAAAACACACCAUAACCCAUUCCCGAUCCUCAAAACUCAACCAACGACCACCACUACACCCAAGUCCCUAGCACUCACCAAAACAACCCUAUAUAUGUGGAAACCAUACCUCACUCUACUCAACUAAUCUCCUAUACACCAGAAUGCACUGAGAAGGACCUGCUCAUCAAUAACAUGGCUGAGGAACUCAAGAAAUUGACAAGUCGAGUUUAGGGUGUUGAAGGAGGCAAAAGGUAGAAGGUCUGAAUUAUGAGGAUCUGUGCAUACAACCGGACGCGGAACUGCCGGAGGGUUACAAACUUCCCAAGUUUGAAAUGUUUGACGGAACAGGUGAUCUCAAGGUUCAUUUGAGAACUUACUGUGACAAGCUCAUGGGGGUCAAAAAAGAUGAAAGGAUCUGAAUGAAGCUCUUCAUGAGAAGUCUUACCAGAGAUGCCCUGUUCCAAUACAUAAGCCAGAACCCUAAGAAGUGGGCCAAUUGGGUGAGCAUGGCAUCAGAAUUUAUGGACCGGUUUAAGUUUAACAUGGAGAAUACACCAUAUGUCUUCUAUAUCCAGAAUUUAAAGAAGAAACCAACUGAUACUUUUCGCGAGUAUGCUACUCGUUGGAGGGCAGAAGCAGCCAAGGUCAGACCAGCACUAGAAGAAGAACAAAUGAACAAGUUCUUUGUCAGGGCACAUGACCCACAGUAUUAUGAAAGGCUAACGGUCAUUGAGAAUCACAAGUUCUCCGAUAUCAUCAAACUCGGAGAAAGGAUUGAAGAAGGUAUCAAAAGUGGGAUGGUGACAAAUUGCGAGGCACUACCGGCCACAAACAAAGCAUUGCAGUCAGGCGGCACAUCAAAGAAGAAAUACGUGGGGGCAGUAAUGGUAGCCCAAGGCCCAAAAUCUCCACUCACAUAUCAAACACCUCUACCCACAUACCAAACACCUCCACCCACAUACCAACCCUCAUCUCCCAGAUAUUCUCAACCCGCCACCACCUAUCAUACUUCUAAAACUCAUCCAACCUACUGUCACUCACCUCCAACUCGUCCAAAUUACCAGAAACCCCGACCUAACUUUGAUCGCAAACCACCUAGACAAUACACUGCUAUUGUUGAACCCAUCGACCAGUUGUACGAAAGGUUGAAGGCAGAUAGUUAUGUCACUCUUAUUCAUGUUGUGGCAAUGGAGAACUCAUCUCAAUAGGUCAACCCAAAGAAAACUUGUGCAUAUCAUUCCGGUAUGAAGGGGCACAAUAUUGACGAGUGUCGCGCAUUGAAAGAUAACAUCCAAACAUUGAUUGAUAGAAAGAUCAUACAGGCAAAGGAAGCCGCGCCCAACAUCUGCAACAACCCUCUCCCGGAUUAUCGGGGUAAUGGGGUCCAUAUUAUAGAAACAAAUGAAGAAUCAGAUCCCAAGGGGUCAAUCGGGCUUAUUCGAGAAGGCGACGACUUUAAACUUGAAGUCACACUCACUCCUAUUAUAGUGCAGAUGCAGUCGUCAGUCAAGGUUAAAGUAACCACAUCAGUUCUCUUUGAGGUAGAGGUAGCUCCGCCGACAUCCACACAUGUUCCAUUUAAGGUAGAAGUGGCCACACCUUUCAUAGUGACAGUAUCAACUACACAUCCUUUCAAUUCUAAAGCCAUACCUUGGGAUUACGUUGUUGAAGCUAGGCGAAAAGGAAAAGCAAAAUUGGAGGAAUCUGAUGCUGCACAAGGAAUGACCAAAACGAGGAGGAUUUAUACACCUGAACACUUGGGUGGAUCGAGUAAAGAGGCUCUACUAAGCAGCUUGCCAUUGAAACUGGACCGGAUGAUCUUUGGAGGAAAGUACAGGCGAGGGAAUACUUUGUUGUUGAUCAUUUGAACAAAAUCCCUGCUCAUAUAUCCAUCUUGUCACUAUUGCAAAAUUUAGAGGCGCACAAGAAUGCUUUGGUGAAGGUAUUAAAUGAAGCUUAUGUGCCCAACAAUAUCACCUGCGGAGAAAUGACCAACAUAGUGGGGCAAGUGCUGAAAAGUCAUAAGAUUACCAUCCACGAGGAUGAAUUAACGCCUGAAGGUUUAAGUCAUAACUGGACAUUGCACAUCACAGUGUAGUUUAAUGAUAAAUUCGUUGCCAGGGUCCUGAUAGAUGGAGGUUCAAGCCUCAACAUUUGUCCGUUGACUACUCUGAAAAGAUUGGGCAAAGGUUUUCAUGAGAUACGACAGGAAGUAUGAAUGUGAAAGCCUUUGAUGGGUCUCAAAGGGCCACAAUUGGGGAGAUAAAUCUUUGCCUGCAGAUGGGGUCAACUUGGUUCGAUGUUGAAUUCCAAGUGCUUGACAUAUCAGCUACAUAGAAUCUUCUGUUGGGUCGACCUUGGAUACAUGCUACUGGGUCUGUGGCCUCCACACUACACCAGGCCGUGAAUUUUGAAUGGAACCAUCAGGAGGUUAUCAUUUAAGGAGAUGGAAGUAAUCCUAUUUAUACUAGUCAAACUAUCACGGUUAUCGAGAAUAGAAGAAGGAUAGGAGGGGAAAUUUAUCACCACAUUGAACAUGUCAAUGCAGUUGAGAAGGAUAAAUGAUGGAGUAACAAGAUAGAAAGCAUACUAGCAUGGUCUGGGUACGUACCCGGCAAGGGGCUUGGGAAGAAUCUCUAAGGCAUUACUAAACCAAUACAGCUCAAACGUCAUGGUACAAGCUUCGGGAUUAGAUACCAAUAUACAUGGCAAGAGUAUGAUGAUUGGUCGCCUCCAUAGCAUGGACCUUAUUACCCUCUCGAGCAACCAAUGCCACAUCUGGGUCAGACCUUUACCAGGGUGAUACAAUAUGGGGAACUAUAGAGGAAGAAGCUUUAGCUAGGCUAAGGAAUUUGUUCCUAGAGGAAGAGGAUAUGGAUUGUAGUGCGAUAAUUGAGGAAGAGGAGGGCCUCACCAUUCAGACUGUGGAGAAGGAGCCGUUCUUAGGAAUUGGACUGCCACAUCAUCCCGGGCCCGCCGAGUCCCUGGGUAGCUUGGCAUUUAGCUUAAUCUAUUUCUAUAGCCAUGCUAGGCAUUUCAAAUGUUUUCAGUAAUUUUGUUUUAAAGACGCAUUUUGUUUCAAAAUAAUUGCUCGAUUCAUCGAGCCGUACUUAUUUGCAUACUUUCAAAAUUUAGUCAAUGCAUUGCUAUUUAUUAUUAUCUUUCACAUCUCUCUUUCUACAGCGUUAUUAUUACUUUUCCUGAUGAACCGAUGAUUGUGACAUGUAAUAAGACAACGCAACAUAAGGAUAGUGACUCGGAGGAAGAAAAUGAAAUACCUAAGGAAAUUGUCCAAGAGGUUGAGAACUUUGAGAAUAAGCCUAAGUCCAACCUGGACGAAACCGAAGCAGCAAAUUUGGGAGAUGCCGAGACCAUCAAGGAAACUCACAUAAGCAUUCAUUAUCACUGCUAGAGAAAAAGGAGUACGUUCGUUUCUUGAAGGAACAUGAGGAUAUCUUUGCAUGGUCAUAUAAUGACAUAACCGGUCUAAGCACAUCCAUAGUAGCUCACAAGUUGCCUACCAAUCCAAUGUGUCCACCAGUGAAGCAGAAACUCAGAAAAUUCAAACCAGACAUGAGCAUGAAAAUCAAGGAGGAGGUCACUAAGAAGAUCAAGGCCAAAGUCCUCAGGUUAGUUGAGUACCUAACCUGGUUAGCCAACAUUGUACCAGUUCUGAAGAAAGAUGGGAAAGUCAAAGUAUGUGUUGACUAUCGAGAUUUAAACAGAGCAAGUCCCAAGGACGAAUUUCCAUUGCCAAACAUACUUAUCCUGGUCGACAAUUGCGCUAAGCAUGAACUCCAAUCCUUUGUAUAUUGCUUCGCGGGUUAUCACCAGAUCUGGAUGGAUGAAGAAGAUGCGGAGAAAACAGCUUUCACCACAUCGUGGAGGGUAUACUGCUAUAAGAUGAUGCCAUUCAGUCUAAAGAAUGAUGGGGCUACUUACAUGAGAGCCAUGACAACCAUCUUCCAUGAUAUAAUACACAAUGAAAUAAAGGUAUAUAUUGAUGAUGUCAUCAUCAAAUCCAAGGGGGCCGCAGAUCACAUAGCAGACUUGAGAAGGUUCUUUGACAGGUUAAGGAGGUACAACUUAAAACUGAACCCCACAAAAUGUGCAUUCGGGGUUCCUGCAGGAAAGCUGCUGGGAUUCAUUGUCAGUCGCUGAGGAAUCGAGUUGGACCCGUCCUAAGUUAAGGCUAUUCAAGAGUUACAGCCACCAAAGAACAAGAAGGAUGUGAUGAGCUUCUUAGGACGUCUCAACUAUAUCAGCCUCUUCAUAGCACGGUCCACAGUUAUAUGUGAACUCAUCUUCAAAAUGUUGAGGAAAGAUGCUGAAACAAGUUGGACCGAAGAUUGUUAGAAGGCUUUCGACAAAAUCAAGGAAUGCUUAUCUACACCGCCAGUCCUAGUCCCUCCAGAACCUAGGAGACCUUUGCUACUCUAUCUAUCUAUAUUAGAUGGAGCUUUCAGAUAUAUUUUUGGACAACAUGACGAGACAUGGAGAAAGGAGCAAGCCAUAUACUACUUGAGUAAGAAGUUCACACCCUAUGAAGCACGAUACUCUCUGCUGGAGCGCAUUUCCUGUGCUUUGACCUGGAUAGCUCAGAAAUUGAGGCAUUACUUCUGUGCCUAUACCACAUACCUCAUAUCCAGGAUGGGCCCUCUGAAUUACAUCUUUUAGAAGCCCAUGCCGACUGGAAAGUUAGCCAAGUGGCAGAUACUGUUAAGUGAGUUCGAUAUCAUCUAUGUAACUCAGAAGGCGGUCAAAGGACAAGCAUUGGUAGACCAUCUUGCUGAAAAUCCUGUGGGAGGGGAAUACGAACACUUGAAAAUGUAUUUUCUUGAUGAAGAAGUAUCAUUCGUAGGAGAGGACAUUACCGAGGUUUACGACGGUUGGAGAAUGUUCUUUGAUGGAGCUGCAAACUUCAAAGGAGUGGGCAUUGGAGCAAUUCUUUUAUCAGAAACAGGUCAACACUACCGUGUAUCUGUGAAGCUUAGGUUUUCAUGCACUAAUAAUAUGGCAGAAUAUAAGGCUUGCAUCAUGGGGCUCAAUUUGGCCAUAGAUAUGAAUGUACAAGAGCUGCUUGUAAUCGGUGAUUCGGAUCUUCUGGUACAUCAGUUUCAAGGAGAAUGGGCUACGAAGAACACCAAAAUACUACCAUACUUACAUCAUGUACAUGAAUUGAUGAAAAGAUUCACAAAGGUAGAAUUCAAACAUGUACCCAGAAUUCAAAAUGAGUUUGCAGACGCACUCGCCACUUUGUCAUCAAUGAUACAACAUCCAGACAAGAAUUUCCUUGAUCCUGUCCCGGUGAGGAUCCAUAAUCAACCGGCUUACUGUGCUCUUGUUGAAGAGGAAACGGAUGGAAAACCUUGGUUCCAAGAUAUCAAAGAAUAUUUGGCAAAAGGAGAAUAUCCAAAGCAGGCAAACCACACUCAGAAAUGCACAUUGUGGAGGCUAUCCAAUCACUUCUUCCAAAGCGGAGGGACCCUGUAUAGAAGAACUCCUGAUCUAGGGUUGUUAAGGUGUGUUGACGCAAAGGAGGCUUCCAUACUACUCGAAGAAAUACAUGCCGGAACUUGUGGACCACAUAUGAAUGGUUUUGUUCUAGCCAAGAAAAUACUCAAAGCUAGAUAUUUUUGGAUGACCAUAAAGACGGAUUGCAUCUGAUAUGUACAGAAAUGCCACCAAUGUCAGGUACAUGCAGACAUGAUAAAGGUACCACCCAAUGAGUUCAACGCAACAAGUACACCUUGGCCUUUUUAUGCCUAGGGAAUGGAUGUCAUCGGUCCGAUCGAGUCCACUGCUUCAAACGGGAACAUGUUCAUUUUAGUGGUCAUUGACUAUUUUACAAAAUGGGUAGAGGCUGGAUCCUACAAAGUUGUGACCAAGAAAGUCGUCGCAGACUUUGUCAAGGAUCGUAUUAUUUGCCGAUUCGGAGUUCCCGUGUCCAUUUCCACCGAUAAUACCGCCAAUCUCAACAGUGACCUGAUGAAAUCAAUGUGUGAAACCUUCAAAAUCAAUCACAAAAACUCUACAGCAUAUAGACCUCAGAUGAAUGGAGUUGUAGAAGCCACCAAUAUGAACAUCAAGAAGAUACUAAGGAAGAUGGUAGAAAACCACAAACAAUGGCAUGAGAAGGUACCCUUUGCCCUAUUGGGGUACCACACUAGAGUCCGCACAUCAACUGGAGCAACCCCUAUUUACUGGUUUCUGGUACCGAAGCUGUCAUCCCAGCCGAGGUAGAGAUUCCUUCUUUGAGAAUCAUACAGGAAGCCGAACUCAGUGAUGCAGAAUGGAUAAGGAGCCGCUAUGAGCAGUUGGCCCUUAUAGACAGAAAAAGAA